UACCUGCAGCUCAAGUGGUGAUCAUUAUUAUUGGGCCUAAAACGUCCGUAGCCGGUUUAGUAAAUGCCUGGGUAAAUCGUGUAGCUUAACUAUACGACUUCCGGGUAGACUGUUAAACUUGAGACCGGGAGAAGCUAGAGGUACUCCUGGGGUAGAGGUGAAAUUCUGUAAUCCUAGGGGGACCACCAGUGGCGAAGGCGUCUAGCUAGAACGGGUCUGACGGUGAGGGACGAAGCCCUGGGGCACAAACCGGAUUAGAUACCCGGGUAGUCCAGGGUGUAAACGCUGCUUGCUUGAUGUUAGUUGGGCUCCGAGCCCAACUAGUGUCGGAGAGAAGUUGUUAAGCAAGCUGCCUGGGAAGUACGGUCGCAAGGCUGAAACUUAAAGGAAUUGGCGGGGGAGCACAGCAACGGGUGGAGCGUGCGGUUC
This 429-nucleotide ribosomal RNA is filed under the name uncultured archaeon. Its description in RNAcentral is "bacterial SSU rRNA". It matches the Rfam family "Archaeal small subunit ribosomal RNA", at positions 474 to 903 of the family's 1478-position model. The record is from RNAcentral.